Molecule: long non-coding RNA, 292 nt
Organism: Hippocampus comes (tiger tail seahorse)
Lineage: Eukaryota; Metazoa; Chordata; Actinopteri; Syngnathiformes; Syngnathidae
Exons: 3
Source: RefSeq, a predicted model, not a curated record
CUCGCCGCCAUCCUCCACAUCUUCCUCAAACUUUAGCCACCUGAAGAAAGACAAAGAGGACAUCGGUGAAACCAAGACACAGUUUAGACAAGAUCUCAUCCAGCUCUGUGAACAACUCGUGGGCCACAUGCUCAGCAUCUUCCUCAGUUCCCAGAAUGAACUGCACCCGCUGGGACGGCGUGUCUGAUAAAGUGACAACACGGUGUCUUCUCGUUUCCUUGGCUUUCUCGCACUGUAAUGCUUCCCGUCCUCCUGUCUUUCUUACGAUGCCGAGAGCCAUGAGGCUUGUGGU